GUUUCAGCAGCCGCGGUAAUACGUAGGGGGCAAGCGUUGUCCGGAUUUAUUGGGCGUAAAGAGCGUGUAGGCGGCCAGACAAGUCCGUUGUGAAAACUAGAGGCUUAACCUCUAGACGUCGAUGGAAACUGUUUGGCUAGAGUCCGGAAGAGGAGAAUGGAAUUCCUGGUGUAGCGGUGAAAUGCGCAGAUAUCAGGAAGAACACCCGUGGCUAAGGCGGUUCUCUAGUACGGUACUGACGCUGAGACGCGAAAGCGUGGGGAGCGAACAGGAUUAGAUACCCGGGUAGUCC
Molecule: ribosomal RNA, 292 nt
Filed under: uncultured bacterium
Lineage: Bacteria
Description: partial 16S ribosomal RNA
Rfam family: Bacterial small subunit ribosomal RNA
Source: RNAcentral